CACUCCUGCGGGAGGCAGCAGUGGGGAAUUUUGGACAAUGGGCGAAAGCCUGAUCCAGCAAUGCCGCGUGAGUGAAGAAGGCCUUCGGGUUGUAAAGCUCUUUUGUCAGGGAAGAAACGGUGAGAGCUAAUAUCUCUUGCUAAUGACGGUACCUGAAGAAUAAGCACCGGCUAACUACGUGCCAGCAGCCGCGGUAAUACGUAGGGUGCAAGCGUUAAUCGGAAUUACUGGGCGUAAAGCGUGCGCAGGCGGUUUUGUAAGUCUGAUGUGAAAUCCCCGGGCUCAACCUGGGAAUUGCAUUGGAGACUGCAAGGCUAGAAUCUGGCAGAGGGGGGUAGAAUUCCACGUGUAGCAGUGAAAUGCGUAGAUAUGUGGAGGAACACCGAUGGCGAAGGCAGCCCCCUGGGUCAAGAUUGACGCUCAUGCACGAAAGCGUGGGGAGCAAACAGGAUUAGAUACCCCGGUAGUCCC
This 471-nucleotide ribosomal RNA is filed under the name uncultured organism. RNAcentral describes it as "partial 16S ribosomal RNA". It matches the Rfam family "Bacterial small subunit ribosomal RNA", at positions 334 to 797 of the family's 1533-position model. The record is from RNAcentral.